GAUGAAGAACGUAGCAAAAUGCGAUAAGUAAUGUGAAUUGCAGAAUUCAGUGAAUCAUCGAAUCUUUGAACGCACAUUGCGCCCGCUGGUAUUCCGGCGGGCAUGCCUGUUCGAGCGUCAUUUCAACCCUCAAGCCCCCGGGUUUGGUGUUGGGGAUCGGCUCUGCCCUUCUGGGCGGUGCCGCCCCCGAAAUACAUUGGCGGUCUCGCUGCAGCCUCCAUUGCGUAGUAGCUAACACCUCGCAACUGGAACGCGGCGCGGCCAUGCCGUAAAACCCCAACUUUCUUAGAGUUGACCUCGGAUCAGGUAGGAAUACCCGCUGAACUUAAGCAUAUCAAUAGCGGAGGA
This 348-nucleotide unclassified non-coding RNA is filed under the name soil metagenome. RNAcentral describes it as "partial contains 5.8S ribosomal RNA, internal transcribed spacer 2, and large subunit ribosomal RNA". The stretch from base 1 to 120 matches the Rfam family "5.8S ribosomal RNA", at positions 35 to 154 of the family's 154-position model. The record is from RNAcentral.